Molecule: non-coding RNA, 30 nt
Filed under: Mus musculus (house mouse)
Lineage: Eukaryota; Metazoa; Chordata; Mammalia; Rodentia; Muridae
Source: RNAcentral
UGUAAAGCUAUACUUACGGGUACCCUGUUC